RNAcentral lists this small RNA (180 nucleotides) under Kitasatospora cheerisanensis. Its description in RNAcentral is "c-di-AMP sequence". It matches the Rfam family "c-di-AMP riboswitch aptamer (ydaO/yuaA leader)". From Rfam's summary of the family: This family represents a conserved RNA structure found upstream of the ydaO and yuaA genes in Bacillus subtilis and related genes in other bacteria. The ydaO/yuaA element is thought to act as a genetic "off" switch for the ydaO and yuaA genes in its native state. Lineage: Bacteria; Bacillati; Actinomycetota; Actinomycetes; Kitasatosporales; Streptomycetaceae. RNAcentral also lists the same sequence under 1 other name. The record is from RNAcentral.
CUCGGGACACCGACCAGACCCGGACAGGAGCGGGGGACCCAAGUGUGAACGCCGUAGUCCCCACGGCUUGGGGUGAAGCCGCCGGGGAGCGGACGCAACCGCGUCCGGUCCCGCCGGCGGCCGGGCCAGCCUCCCGGUCCGAACCCGACAGCUCACCUCGCAGGCGUGCGGAGAGGAAGC